CGAGUCCGCCAGGCAGCCGCGGCAGGGGUUUCCCUGUCGAGGAAAGUCCGAGCUCCGCAGAGCAGGGUGCCGGGUAACACCCGGUCGGGGCGACCCGAAGGAGAGUGCCACAGAAAAGACACAGCCGGGCACCGCGGCCCGGCGAAGGUGAAAUGGUGAGGUAAGAGCCCACCGGCAGCCGGGAGACCGGUUGGCCUGGAAAACCCCACCUGGAGCAAGACCGAAUAGGAGGACCACAGGCUGGCUCGGUCGGUCCUCGGGUAUGGUCGCUCGAGCCGCCGGGCAACCGACGGCCCAGACGGAUGGCUGCCACCCCGCGAACGUGUCGGCGUAGCCGGCAAAGUCGGGGGACAGAACUCGGCUUAUCGGCGGACUCAAUUA
Molecule: RNase P RNA, 381 nt
Filed under: Chloroflexota bacterium
Lineage: Bacteria; Bacillati; Chloroflexota
Description: Chloroflexi bacterium RNase P RNA component class A
Rfam family: Bacterial RNase P class A
About the family: Ribonuclease P (RNase P) is a ubiquitous endoribonuclease, found in archaea, bacteria and eukarya as well as chloroplasts and mitochondria. Its best characterised activity is the generation of mature 5'-ends of tRNAs by cleaving the 5'-leader elements of precursor-tRNAs.
Source: RNAcentral